Molecule: long non-coding RNA, 1985 nt
Organism: Boleophthalmus pectinirostris (great blue-spotted mudskipper)
Lineage: Eukaryota; Metazoa; Chordata; Actinopteri; Gobiiformes; Gobiidae
Exons: 2
Source: RefSeq, a predicted model, not a curated record
GGGUUUCACACAAGAUGGUACGGUUUCCUUAGCAUUUCUACAACAUAUUUAAAGCUAAAGGAGAAAUAAACGUAGCUAGAGACCGAGGCAGAUGUCGUGCGUACGUGGAUGCGUGCGGAGUGGCCGUGGGGAGAAGGAGAGAUAAAAGAUGCCCUCCCAUAACGUGAAGACACACCAGGAACCACCACUUUCGGCUCUGUCUUUUUUUAUGGGGUCAAAUCUGGAUUAUUAGACUCUUGAACAUUGCAGCGUGGCUCCAGUAUUGGGUGCUCUCUCUCCUCUUGAGUCCUAUGGGUGCUGUGGGAUGAGGUAGUAGUUUGUAUAGUUUUAGGAUCACACCAGAUCUGGGAGAUAACUAUACAGUCUACUGUCUUUCCCACGGACCUUAACUUCUGCAGAUGAGCCUGUCAGAGGAGACUGGUCCUCACAUAGUCCUGGUUUAGUCCUGCUUUAGCCCUGGUUUAGUCCUGGUUUUGGUGGAGGAGACUGCAGCCUGUUGCCACGGUUACUGUAGGCUCGGUUGCCAUUGGAGACGAGAAGGCUUAAAUUAAAUCAAGAGUUGGAAACAUCAUUCAGAUCAUUUAAACAUCUUACUCCUAAUCGCCUGUUGUUAAUAAUAAAAAUCUAUUUGUGAUCAUAUUUUGAUGGUAAUAGAAUCGGGGCUUGUACACAGCCUCUUCCAGUCACUCUUUGUACUUUGACACUGCAUUAUUCAUUCACUUGUGAGUCACAGGAGGAGGAUGGUGUGCUCAUAUUAGGCCUGUGUUCCUGUAGUGAUGAAGUCUGUGUGUUUUAUACUCGGGGAUAUCGGUCUAGUCCAGGAUUGAAACAAGUUCAUCCAUUAAGCGCAGCUUGUGUUGUGAAAGUGUUUUUGUCUGUUCUGUGGUGAGGUAGUGAACCAGUUGUGUUUCUGUUGUUAUUUUUGGAUAUAUUUUUUGUCACGAGGCAGCUCUGUGGAGAGCAGGGCUGUAUUCAACUAAAGAAACCCUUGGUGGACUAAAGACGUGUUGCCAAUCGAUUGGUCGACGAAAAAGGGGGCGUGGCUAAAGCUCUCAAAACUACUGAGGCAAAACUGAUGUGACCCAAACCACACUCGGCAGCACACCUGCAGAGGAAGCUCAUGCAAAAACUACUAUUUAUAAAAACAACUAUUUAUAAGCGUACAGUGCGCCGUACUGAAGUACUGACGUGUAUUUAAAUGAAAAAAACGCAGAUGAAUCUCCUAAUCUUUAACUAGUCUACUACGUACCUCACUGCUGCUGCUGUGUCCUGUACACGUCCUCCACAUGGAAAGAACAGAAUCAUAAGUCAACUUCGAUUAAGAUGCAGACAAACAGUCAACUGUUUAAUCGUUUAAAUGACUCAGUCUUCAGCCCAAGUGUUCUGGCUCGGUUGUGAUGUUCUAGUUGUAUUCUGCUUGUGUUCUGGUUGUUCUGGUUGUGUUCUGGUUGUGUUCUGGUUGUGUUUCGGUUGUGUUCUGGUUGUGUUUCGGUUGUGUUCUGGUUGUGUUUCGGUUGUGUUUCAGUUGUGUUCUGGUUGUGUUUCGGUUGUGUUCUGGUUGUGUUCUGGUUGUGUUUCGGUUGUGUUCUGGUUGUAUUUCAGUUGUGUUCUGGUUGUGUUUCAGUUGUGUUCUGGUUGUGUUUCGGUUGUGUUCUGGUUGUUUUCUGGUUGUGUUCUGGCUCAGUUGUGAUGUUCCGGUUGUGUUCCGGCUCUGUUGUGUUGAGGUAGUGAGUUGUGUUGUUGUGGGGUGUUUGAUUCUAACCCCAGUUCUGGAGAUGCAACAGCACGACCCUCUGCCUUCCACAGCUCAGCUCCUCUCUCCAGAUCAGGCUUCAAAUGUUUUCCAACUGAAAAGUCCAGAUAGCCAAACUUAUUCACUCUGAAACGUUUGUCCCAUUGACAGAAUUACAUUUUCUUUUGCAUUGUUUUAGUGAAAUGUUAUUGAUGUUUUUGUAAUAAAUAAAAGAAUGUUUUUUACAUUUAAA